This 250-nucleotide ribosomal RNA is filed under the name uncultured archaeon. RNAcentral's name for it is "partial 16S ribosomal RNA". It matches the Rfam family "Archaeal small subunit ribosomal RNA", at positions 331 to 581 of the family's 1478-position model. The record is from RNAcentral.
CGCAGCAGGCGCGAAAACUUUACAAUGCAGGCAACUGCGAUAGGGGAACAUCGAGUGAUCGUCAUAUAAGGGGUCUGUCCACUCGCCUAAAAAACGGGUGUUAGCAAGGGCCGGGCAAGACCGGUGCCAGCCGCCGCGGUAAUACCGGCGGCUCGAGUGGUGGCCGAUAUUAUUGGGUCUAAAGGGUCCGUAGCCGGCUGUUCAAGUCUCUCGGGAAAUCCAGCGGCUUAACCGUUGGUCUUCCGGGGGU